AGGGAUUUAGCUCUGUGGUUGGAGCGUCUGCCUUGCAAGCGAAGGGUUCCGGGUUCGAUCCCCGGUACCCCCC
RNAcentral lists this transfer RNA (73 nucleotides) under Heterocephalus glaber (naked mole-rat). It matches the Rfam family "tRNA". Rfam says of the family: Transfer RNA (tRNA) molecules are approximately 80 nucleotides in length. Their secondary structure includes four short double-helical elements and three loops (D, anti-codon, and T loops). The record is from Rfam by way of RNAcentral. Lineage: Eukaryota; Metazoa; Chordata; Mammalia; Rodentia; Bathyergidae.